UUAUGUGAUCGUCUCUCGCAUAUCAAUAAGCGGAGGAAAAGGAGGGAGCUAUGGGGUACCUACGCUUAGGAUGUUGACGAGACUGUCGAUCUCAUCUAUACAUGACUCUGUGCAUAUCAAUAAGCGGAGGAAAAGAAACUAACAAGGAUUCCCCUAGUAACGGCGAGUGAAGCGGGAAGAGCUCAAAUUUGAAAUCUUAAAGGGUUUCCCUUUACGAAUUGUAGUUUAAAGAAGUGUUUUCUGUUGAGGUUUUGGUAAAAGUUCUUUGGAAUAGGACAUCAUAGAGGGUGAGAAUCCCGUAUUUGACCUUUACUUUCAACUUUGUGAUACACUUUCAAAGAGUCGGAUUGUUUGGGAAUGCAGUCCAAAAUGGGUGGUAAAUUUCAUCUAAAGCUAAAUAUUGGCGAGAGACCGAUAGCGAACAAGUACCGUGAGGGAAAGAUGAAAAGAACUUUGAAAAGAGAGUUAAACAGUACGUGAAAUUGUCAAAAGGGAAGCGUUUGACACCAGUGUUGUUUUUCUGAAAAUCAAUUAAAGAACUGUUUAUGCUAAGUUGUUUAGAUCUUUAUCAGCUAAUCUGCUUAGUUUUGAGCUUUUCUUUAAUGCACUUUUCAGUUAACAAGUCAACAUCAAUUUCUUUUGCUGUAAAAAAGCUUGAGGAGGGUGGCUUGAGAUUCGUCUUAAGUGUUUAUAGCCUCUUGCCUAUGCAGUCGGAGAGAUUGAGGUCUGCAGCGUAGAUCCUUCGGGGCUAAAUGCAUUUGUGCUAAGUUAUAACAUUUUAUAGACAACUUGUUGACUAUGAUUUGUCUUGUAGCUUACUCGCUUAUGUUAUUUUACCUACGCUUAGGAUGUUGAGUAGCGACAUACGCAC
This 871-nucleotide ribosomal RNA is filed under the name uncultured Neocallimastigales. Its description in RNAcentral is "partial large subunit ribosomal RNA". It matches the Rfam family "Eukaryotic large subunit ribosomal RNA", at positions 1 to 649 of the family's 3401-position model. The record is from RNAcentral. Lineage: Eukaryota; Fungi; Neocallimastigomycota; Neocallimastigomycetes; Neocallimastigales.